UACAGAGGAGCCAAGCGUUGUCCGGAUUGACUGGGCGUAAAGCGCACGCAGGCGGUUUCGCGCGUGGGGUGUGAAAUCUGGCCGCUUAACGGCCAGGCGCCAUCCCAUACGGCGCGACUGGAGGGCUGCAGAGGUCGAUGGAAUUGCCGGUGUAGUGGUGAAAUGCGUAGAGAUCGGCAGGAACACCCAGGGGGAAACCAGUCGACUGGGCAGCACCUGACGCUGAGGUGCGAGAGCGUGGGGAGCGAACCGG
This 253-nucleotide ribosomal RNA is filed under the name uncultured bacterium. RNAcentral describes it as "partial 16S ribosomal RNA". It matches the Rfam family "Bacterial small subunit ribosomal RNA", at positions 524 to 776 of the family's 1533-position model. The record is from RNAcentral.